UAAAGUAAAGGUGAGUGUCAACUGAAUUAUUGAUAUUAUUGUAUUGUAUAAAUUGCUCUUGCAACUCCUUAAAAGCAGGAGGUAAAAUCAUAGCAGUUGAUUCCCACACAAAAUACCAGUUUUGAAACCAAGUGGGGAACCUUUCAAAAAUUGGUAGCCGGAACUGUAAAUACCAGCUAUGAGUAUUAUUAGGGUUUUGAUAAUAGAAAAAUUUGUGCCAAGCUUCUAUGUACUCAGCAUAUUUGAAAUACUUAUAAGAAAAUUCAGGAUUUU
Molecule: long non-coding RNA, 273 nt
Filed under: Amborella trichopoda
Lineage: Eukaryota; Viridiplantae; Streptophyta; Magnoliopsida; Amborellales; Amborellaceae
Description: long non-coding RNA (ATRI_LNC001262)
Source: RNAcentral